RNAcentral lists this ribosomal RNA (354 nucleotides) under bacterium LimB-1-J-81. RNAcentral's name for it is "bacterial SSU rRNA". It matches the Rfam family "Bacterial small subunit ribosomal RNA", at positions 289 to 632 of the family's 1533-position model. The record is from RNAcentral.
GGUCUGAGAAGGAUGCCCAGCCCACACUGGAACUGAGACACGGUCCCAGACUCCUACGGGAGGCAGCAGUGGGGAAUAUUGCACAAUGGGCGCAAGCCUGAUGCAGCCAUGCCGCGUGUGUGAAGAAGGCCUUCGGGUUGUAAAGCACUUUCAGCGAGGAGGAAGGUGGUGAACUUAAUACGUUCAUCAAUUGACGUUACUCGCAGAAGAAGCACCGGCUAACUCCGUGCCAGCAGCCGCGGUAAUACGGAGGGUGCAAGCGUUAAUCGGAAUUACUGGGCGUAAAGCGCACGCAGGCGGUUUGUUAAGUCAGAUGUGAAAUCCCCGGGCUCAACCUGGGAACUGCAUUUGAAA